This 253-nucleotide ribosomal RNA is filed under the name uncultured bacterium. Its description in RNAcentral is "partial 16S ribosomal RNA". It matches the Rfam family "Bacterial small subunit ribosomal RNA", at positions 524 to 776 of the family's 1533-position model. The record is from RNAcentral.
UACGUAGGGGGCUAGCGUUGUCCGGAAUUAUUGGGCGUAAAGAGCUCGUAGGUGGCGUGUCGCGUCUGCCGUGAAAGCCCAUGGCUUAACUGUGGGUCUGCGGUGGAUACGGGCAGGCUGGAGGCUGGUAGGGGCAAGCGGAAUUCCUGGUGUAGCGGUGAAAUGCGCAGAUAUCAGGAGGAACACCGGUGGCGAAGGCGGCUUGCUGGGCCAGUUCUGACGCUGAGGAGCGAAAGCGUGGGGAGCGAACAGG